This 76-nucleotide transfer RNA is filed under the name Chlorobaculum thiosulfatiphilum. Its description in RNAcentral is "tRNA-Lys". It matches the Rfam family "tRNA". From Rfam's summary of the family: Transfer RNA (tRNA) molecules are approximately 80 nucleotides in length. Their secondary structure includes four short double-helical elements and three loops (D, anti-codon, and T loops). Further hydrogen bonds mediate the characteristic L-shaped molecular structure. tRNAs have two regions of fundamental functional importance: the anti-codon, which is responsible for specific mRNA codon recognition, and the 3' end, to which the tRNAs corresponding amino acid is attached (by aminoacyl-tRNA synthetases). tRNAs cope with the degeneracy of the genetic code in two manners: having more than one tRNA (with a specific anti-codon) for a particular amino acid; and 'wobble' base-pairing, i.e. permitting non-standard base-pairing at the 3rd anti-codon position. Lineage: Bacteria; Pseudomonadati; Chlorobiota; Chlorobiia; Chlorobiales; Chlorobiaceae. The record is from RNAcentral. RNAcentral also lists the same sequence under 2 other names.
GCACUCGUAGCUCAGUUGGUAGAGCAACUGACUCUUAAUCAGUGGGUCCAAGGUUCGAAUCCUUGCGAGUGCACCA